UGUUCUUUCCUUUCUCUCACUCUUAUUUUAUAUGUAUGCUCUUUCAUUGAGGACAAUGUAUGUUUUAAGUGUGGGGGAGGGAACCAUUUAUUUAUUUUGUUUUCUUUGUUUUUUCUCUGUUUUGGUUUUUGUUUGCUUUCUUAAAAAAAAACUACAUGUUUUUUUUCUUUGGUUUUUGAGUUACAAUUAUGAUUAUUUUUCUUAGUUCUCUUGACUAAAGUCUUGUGGUGUGAUGUGAAAAAUGUUUUGUGCAUUUUUAGUAUGAUAGGUAUGACUAAACUCUAAAUUGUAUAUCUUUAGCAGUAGAUCAUUAGCCCUGGUGAGCUUUGAGCCUUAUAUGGAUAACAUACAAAAAUUCAUCUCUUUCUUUCUUGUGUGGUUC
Molecule: long non-coding RNA, 382 nt
Filed under: Lathyrus oleraceus (garden pea)
Lineage: Eukaryota; Viridiplantae; Streptophyta; Magnoliopsida; Fabales; Fabaceae
Description: Pisum sativum (pea) long non-coding RNA (PSAT_LNC015430)
Source: RNAcentral